ACUGAGAGCAGACCAGAUGUCACC
Molecule: non-coding RNA, 24 nt
Filed under: Rattus norvegicus (Norway rat)
Lineage: Eukaryota; Metazoa; Chordata; Mammalia; Rodentia; Muridae
Source: RNAcentral